UUCCAUGGUCUGGCAAGAUUGAAAUGUUCAGUCACACACUACAGACCCAGGCUAGAGUCUUCGAGGGACCGUGGUAUGUGUGGUGAUCCUGGAAGAUUGAAAGGGUCGCGUCACCUUAAGUUUCAUACAUACACGAUGUGUGCCCUGAUGGGACUGGACUUUCACUGAGUGCAUCAUGAUACAGAUGACCUCAGCAGACCUUUCUUGGGGACUACCACAGCGAUCCCGUGUCAGGGACAAGGAGCGAGAGAAUUCAUUUGUGAUUUGCCAUUGAAUUGUUGAGGCUCUUUGAUCAGGCCACAGGAAAUCUAACCACUGUGGACCCUGGCGGAACACAGAAGACAAUCAGUCCUCAUUUGAGUCCUACUUGUUUUUAUGUCCCGUGAAGCUACAGGGUUCUGAUACUUUCAGAAACACCUGCCUCCUACUUCCCCCCUCUCCCCCCAAGCAGAGAGGAUCCAAGUACGGAAUCUCUUGACCCAGUGUAGAUACUUCAAGGCAGA
Molecule: long non-coding RNA, 503 nt
Filed under: Mus pahari (shrew mouse)
Lineage: Eukaryota; Metazoa; Chordata; Mammalia; Rodentia; Muridae
Description: predicted gene 15208 (MGP_PahariEiJ_G0006357.1)
Source: RNAcentral